Molecule: ribosomal RNA, 377 nt
Filed under: uncultured bacterium
Lineage: Bacteria
Description: bacterial SSU rRNA
Rfam family: Bacterial small subunit ribosomal RNA
Source: RNAcentral
UAAUACGUAGGGGGCUAGCGUUGUCCGGAAUCAUUGGGCGUAAAGAGCGUGUAGGCGGCCCGGUAAGUCCGCUGUAAAAGUCGGGGGCUCAACCCUCGAAAGCCGGUGGAUACUGUCGGGCUAGAGUACGGAAGAGGCGAGUGGAAUUCCUGGUGUAGCGGUGAAAUGCGCAGAUAUCAGGAGGAACACCGAUUGCGAAGGCAGCUCGCUGGGACGUCACUGACGCUGAGACGCGAAAGCGUGGGGAGCAAACAGGAUUAGAUACCCUGGUAGUCCACGCUGUAAACGAUGGGCACUAGGUGUGGGGGGUGUCGACUCCCCCCGUGCCGAAGCUAACGCAUUAAGUGCCCCGCCUGGGGAGUACGGCCGCAAGGCUA